Long non-coding RNA from Neofelis nebulosa (Clouded leopard), 2065 nucleotides. RefSeq lists it as uncharacterized. The record is from RefSeq and is a predicted model, not a curated record. NCBI's taxonomy places the organism in Eukaryota, Metazoa, Chordata, Mammalia, Carnivora, Felidae. The transcript has 2 exons.
UGGUUUUACUUAAUCAAGUGUCCCAGGUAACAAGCCGUCCGCCCGUUUGUGUUGGCAGUUUUCAAAGGUGAGGGCCGGAUAAACACGGAGCCUCUCUGUCGGAGCUGGGGCUCGGAGAACGGGGUGUCCUGAGCCCGCCAGAGAGAGCCUGUUACACAAAGUCACUCCCUCCGUGUCCAGGACUCGCAUGAUUAGAUCCCUGGCCGCAGCCCAGUCUUCCCUGAGGAAGCAACGCACGACGGACGAACAGGCCUAAAAGCGGGGAGAAGACAUUUCUGCUCUGCUCCAGGUCAACAACCCACCAGACUUCAUUCCAACAGCCUGGGCUGACCUCUGACACCUAUCCAAAGUGAAAUCUGAAGAUGAGAACACGAGCUUUGGCAGGUGACUUUACCGGAGGCCCCCUCCUGCAGCACAUCCCCAUGAGGAGUGCCCUCGGCCCUUCCCCCGUCUGAAAGGGUGUGUGUGAGUUCCAGAGGUGGCAGGUGUCCCGGCAGGGAGGACUCUGGGGACCCUGGGCACUGGGAGAACUUGUGAGAGCAGCUAGGAGGUCCUGGGAGCUCUCCGUCCAAAAGCCCCGGGUGGACACACAGCAGGUGUAGCAAUGCCCCGACAGCCACAGCUCCUGAUCUGGGUCAGGCCAUGGGGCCAUGGUCAGCCACACCACUGAGGUGAAGACAAGAAAUCCCAGGGGAGUCCACGUGGGCCAGAUAUGUACAGAGGGAGACACAGAAUCGGAAGCAGGCUCCAGGCUCCGAGCUGUCAGCACAGAGCUGGACGCGGGGCUUGAACUCACAAGCUGCGGGAUCAUGACCUGAAGUCGAAGCCGGACUGCUCCGCGGGAUAUACAGCAAAGUUCCAGAGAAUGGCCAUGGAGGCCAGGGUCAAAGUGUUCUUUUGCCUGGAACGGUUCUCUGGGUUCAUCUCCUGCAGGAAGCUCGUGGAGACCGAGGUCGAGGAUACGAUUCUGGAUCCUGUGCAACAGGCACAGUUCCAAGCAACAGUCGCUCUAAUUUCCCAACACGCAUGAAGCAAUUUCUUUUAACUCAUGAAUUUGCAAAGCGGCAACAUAAUAAGGUGAACAGAAUUGAAUUCAUGCUAUGGCAUAAGUUAUCGGUAGGUUAUUAAACAAUUACGUUAACCAUAAGUAUAGAAAGCUAUAGAUGUGCAUCAACUUCAAACCCUGCACGCACGUAACUGCAUUGUGAGACUAUUACUAACGUCCGUGGCCCUGGUCCUCGGCCAGUGGCCUGGCCCCAAUUUGUCUGAGCGCUUCACUCUAGUCACCUGGCUCUGUAUGUCACCACCUCUAUGUCCCAAGCUAGUCCAGACCAGCCUGAGUCAGACUUGUCUCCUCCCUGAGUCAGCAGGGACAGGUGACUGCAGAGACACUCCAUCGCCCUUGCUCAGAGUUCAGCUGGAGAAGUGUAGAACCUUCCUACAAAAGGUACGACUGCAUCCUCAAAGCUGGAUUGCUCUCUGGCCUCUGGCGGUCCCCUGUGCCUUUGCAAAGGAUAAAAGGCCCGGACGUUAUGUGUCUUUGUACUUCCUGAGUGUUCCAUGAACCCCUGUGACAUGCUCACUGCUGGAGAAAAGCCUGUGAUAGGAGGCGGUAGAAAGAGAUUUCCAGACCUUGUGGGCACCCAGAAGGGGAAGUUGCUCCUUUCACUGAGGGAUGCCUGGACACCCCUUGUGCCCAUGGUAAGCCUUCCUCUCCAUGAUGAUUUCCUGUCUGUCUCUCAGUAUCAAAUCCCUCCGCCCACCACCCCCAGGUAUGAAGCCCGGAGCUACAAAGCAACCACGAGGGACAAAAUGCUGCCUCACCGAGGUUAUGGGUUUACCAUUUUCAUGCUGAAUGUGAAGUGUCUGAGAUACACAAAAGAAUAAAAUGGCUAGCCAGACUGCUUGAGGAAUAAUCCUAGAGAACCAUACGUACCUAUUAACUGGGUUUUAAUAAGAAGUCCCCUUUGUUUUGUUUUGGCUGGUACUGUUUUCCUCCAAUCUUUCUAAAAUGUAAGCAAGCAGCAUGGUAUACAGGAAAAUAAAUGAGGUUGUUGGAUGGGCA